UCUGCCCAGUGCUCAGUUAACGGCCGCAGUAUCUUAACUGUGCUAAGGUAGCAUAAUCAUUAGUUUUUUAAUUGAAAACCAGAAUAAAAGAUCUGACGAAAACUCAACUUUCUCAAAAAUAGUUUAACUUGCCUUUAGAGUUAAAAGGCUCUAAUUUUUUAGAAGGACGACAAGACCCUGAAAACUUAAAUUUUUAAAGAAACCUUUUUAGAUUAUAAUAAUCCAUAAACGAUUUUAGCUGGGGCGGCUAUAUUUAAUUUAAACAAACUCAACUAUAACGUAAUGAACGAAGUUAUUAAACUCUCAUAAGCAAUAAAGCCAAGUUACUUCAGGGAUAACAGCACAAUAUCUUUUAAGAGUCCCUAUCGUCAAAGAUGCGUGUGACCUCGAUGUUGAAUUGAAUCUUCUUUUUGGAGCAGCCUCUAAUAAAGAAAGUCUGUUCGCCUUUUAAAUUUUCA
This 458-nucleotide ribosomal RNA is filed under the name Dynamene bidentata. RNAcentral describes it as "partial 16S ribosomal RNA". It matches the Rfam family "Bacterial large subunit ribosomal RNA", at positions 1858 to 2598 of the family's 2925-position model. Lineage: Eukaryota; Metazoa; Arthropoda; Malacostraca; Isopoda; Sphaeromatidae. The record is from RNAcentral.